This 743-nucleotide long non-coding RNA is filed under the name Vulpes vulpes (red fox). Its description in RNAcentral is "lncRNA (ENSVVUG00000001933.1)". The record is from RNAcentral. Lineage: Eukaryota; Metazoa; Chordata; Mammalia; Carnivora; Canidae.
CACAAUCAGGGAGAGGGGCAGCAGGAGAAGCAGAAGCAGACUCCUGGUUGAGCAGGGAACCUGAUGUGGGGCUCAAUCCCAGGACCCUGAGAUUAUGAUCUGAGCUGAAGACAGAUGCUUAACUGACUGAGCCACCCAAGAAUCCCUGGAGCCAAUAUUCUUAAUGUAUUUUAUUUUCCAGUUGCUUCGGAUAGCAAGUGAGGCAGAAAUGGCUCACUGACCACUUAAAUCUGUGCCUCUUUCCCAUGGCACAGAGUUGUUGCUGGAAAGUGACUGUCUAAGCAAUGCCUACAUUCCCAGCCCACUCGGAUCUGGGAAGGACCAUGCAAUUAGUACUGACCAGAGCGAAAUACAACAGGAAGCGAAUGAUGGCCUUGGGUCCCAAGUAUUGAGAUGGUGGUUUCACAAGAAGAGUCUUGUAUCCCCGAAGCCGAGGAGGGAAAAAUGCCUUGGUAUGAUUGUUUCAUUAUGUAACACUUCACACAACACCCCGGAGGAAAUGGCUCCAGGAGAAAGAUAAAAAUACAUUCUGAGAUGUAAAAAAAAGAAAGAAAGAAAAACCCAACUCCUGCUGUCUCGUUUUUCUCCAUUACUUCAAAUGCAGACGGGCAAAAGUGAGUAAUUAAAGAAAGAAAUCUGGUGUUAUUUAAAGGGAACUUGAAUAACAACCAAGUACCAACACCAAUAGCGUGGCAUACGAGUUGAUGUGUUGGAUUAUGUCACCCAAGUGCCUAAUAUCCCAA